CCUACGGGCGGCAGCAGUGGGGAAUAUUGGACAAUGGGCGAAAGCCUGAUCCAGCCAUGCCGCGUGUGUGAAGAAGGCCUUCGGGUUGUAAAGCACUUUCAGUGGGGAAGAAAGCCUUGGGGCUAAUACCCUCGAGGAAGGACAUCACCCACAGAAGAAGCACCGGCUAACUCCGUGCCAGCAGCCGCGGUAAUACGGAGGGUGCGAGCAUUAAUCGGAAUUACUGGGCGUAAAGCGCGCGUAGGCGGUCUGAUAAGCCGGUUGUGAAAGCCCCGGGCUCAACCUGGGAACGGCAUCCGGAACUGUCAGGCUAGAGUGCAGGAGAGGAAGGUAGAAUUCCCGGUGUAGCGGUGAAAUGCGUAGAGAUCGGGAGGAAUACCAGUGGCGAAGGCGGCCUUCUGGACUGACACUGACGCUGAGGUGUGAAAGCGUGGGUAGCAAACAGGAUUAGAUACCCCAGUAGUC
RNAcentral lists this ribosomal RNA (465 nucleotides) under Vreelandella stevensii. Its description in RNAcentral is "partial 16S ribosomal RNA". It matches the Rfam family "Bacterial small subunit ribosomal RNA", at positions 338 to 795 of the family's 1533-position model. The record is from RNAcentral. Lineage: Bacteria; Pseudomonadati; Pseudomonadota; Gammaproteobacteria; Oceanospirillales; Halomonadaceae.